Molecule: ribosomal RNA, 370 nt
Filed under: uncultured bacterium
Lineage: Bacteria
Description: bacterial SSU rRNA
Rfam family: Bacterial small subunit ribosomal RNA
Source: RNAcentral
AACGAACGCUGGCGGCAGGCCUAACACAUGCAAGUCGAACGCUCCGCAAGGGGAGUGGCGCACGGGUGAGUAACACGUGGGAACCUACCUUCUGGUACGGAACAACCAAGGGAAACUUUGGCUAAGACCGUAUACGACCUCCGGGUGAAAGAUUGAUCGCCGGAAGAGGGGCCCGCGUCCGAUUAGGUAGUUGGUGAGGUAACGGCUCACCAAGCCUUCGAUCGGUAGCUGGUCUGAGAGGAUGACCAGCCACACUGGGACUGAGACACGGCCCAGACUCCUACGGGAGGCAGCGGUGGGGAAUAUUGGACAAUGGGCGCAAGCCUGAUCCAGCCAUGCCGCGUGAGUGAUGAAGGCCUUCGGUUGUAAG